GUAACGGUGUCUUUAGACACCACCUUUUGUCUUCGAAAUGUUUUAU
Picea glauca (white spruce) is the source of this 46-nucleotide non-coding RNA. Lineage: Eukaryota; Viridiplantae; Streptophyta; Pinopsida; Pinales; Pinaceae. The record is from Rfam.